UAGGGAAUCUUCGGCAAUGGGACGAAAGGUCUGGCCGAGCAACGCCGCGUGAGUGAAGAAGGUUUUCGGAUCGUAAAACUCUGUUGGUAGAGAAGAACGUUGGUGAGAGUGGAAAGCUCAUCAAGUGACGGUAACUACCCAGAAAGGGACGGCUAACUACGUGCUAG
This 167-nucleotide ribosomal RNA is filed under the name uncultured bacterium. Its description in RNAcentral is "partial 16S rRNA". It matches the Rfam family "Bacterial small subunit ribosomal RNA", at positions 355 to 511 of the family's 1533-position model. The record is from RNAcentral.